UCAUCUCUUGGUGGUCCGCCUA
RNAcentral lists this non-coding RNA (22 nucleotides) under Arabidopsis thaliana (thale cress). Lineage: Eukaryota; Viridiplantae; Streptophyta; Magnoliopsida; Brassicales; Brassicaceae. The record is from RNAcentral.